CAGGUCAUUCAACAUUUAUUCAACCAAAAAUACUAAGUCAGCUCUAUACAAACUAAUGGAAGGAUACAGCUAUGCAAAUAUAGAACACUAAAGUGUUACAUGACAGAUGUAUGAGGGGAAGAGUGCUGGAUUCAGAGCCCACCUCAGGGGAAGACAGGACCCUCUCCAAGAUGGUUUCCCUAGAAGCUACUACCUCUCCCUGGAGGGUGGAGAUAUUUGCUGGUCAAAGCAAGAAGGCCCUCUGCAGAUGCUGACACCUUGAUAUUGGACUUCCCAGAUUCCAGAACUCUGAGAAAUAAAUUUCUAUUUUAAAUAAAUUACCCAGUCUGUGAUAUUCUGUUAUAGCAACACAAAAUGGACUUAGACGGUAUGCUAAUGAGAUGACUGCUGGCAGGGAGCUCUGAAAUAACUUUAGGAUAGGGGCUGGUUACUACAAAAACAAAGGCAUGUUUAGUGGGUUGGGACUUUCAGCCUAUACCUCAACCUCUGGGGAGGGGAGAGGGCCUGAAGUUUGAGUUGAUCACUAAUGGCCAAUGAUGUAAUCAAUCAUGCCUGUGUAAUGAAGGCUUUACAGAAAACCAAACAGGGUUUGCAGACUUUCUUGAUUGCUGAACACAUGGAGGUUCCUGGAGGGUGGUGUGCCCAGAGAGGUCAUGGAAGCUCCAUGCCCCUUCUCCAAUACCUCACCAGAUGCAUCUCUCUCAUCUGGAUGUUCAUCUCUAUCCUUUGUAAUAUCCUUCGUAGUAAAUGGUCAAACUUAAGUAAAGUGUUUCCCUGAGUUCUGUGAGCCACUUUAGCAAAUUAAUUGAGCCUAAGGCGGGGGGUCAUGAGAGUCCCAAUGUAUAGCCAGUUGAACAGAAGCACAGGUCGCAACCUGAGGCUUGCAAUUACCAUCUGUAGUGUUGGGUGGGGGGAACAGGCUUGUGGGAUCUGACACUGUCUCCCAGUAGAUAGUGUCAGAAUUGAAUUGAUUUUUAGGGCAUGCAGUCGGUGUCCAUUGCAGAUUGCUAGGUGUGUGGGGAAAAACCUCAACGUAUCUGUUGUUAGAAGUAAAUUGUUGAGUGACUGUGUGAGUAUAAGCAAAGGAGUAGGAAAAGCACCUUUGGUUUUUUCAAUAUUUUAGAGAAUCCAGAUGUCUUGGCUCUGAGCCAGUCAUCUGAGGACCAAACCAGGCCGUGCCUAGUAGUGAACCUCUUCUCUUGACCCAACAAGAUUACAAAAAUUAAAAACAAACGAAUAAACAGAGACAGGUCAAAAAAAGUAAACAAAAACCAAAACAGCAAGUCAAAUGAAAGCAGGGCUCUUAAUCAAAGUUCAUCAAGAAGGUAAGAAAAAU
This 1336-nucleotide long non-coding RNA is filed under the name Homo sapiens (human). RNAcentral describes it as "HSALNT0343929". Lineage: Eukaryota; Metazoa; Chordata; Mammalia; Primates; Hominidae. The record is from RNAcentral.